Molecule: ribosomal RNA, 203 nt
Filed under: uncultured bacterium
Lineage: Bacteria
Description: partial 16S ribosomal RNA
Rfam family: Bacterial small subunit ribosomal RNA
Source: RNAcentral
CAGGCGGUUUUUCAAGUCAGUGGUGAAAGCCCGGAGCUCAACUCCGGAACUGCCAUUGAAACUGUAAAACUUGAGGAUGAGAGAGGUGAGUGGAAUUCCCAGUGUAGAGGUGAAAUUCGUAGAUAUUGGGAAGAACACCGGUGGCGAAGGCGGCUCACUGGCUCAUAUCUGACGCUCAGGCGCGACAGCGUGGGGAUCAAACA